GCGGUAGUAGCUCAGUUGGUAGAGCAUUAGCCUUCCAAGCUGAGGGUCGCGGGUUUGAGCCCCGUCUUCCGCU
This 73-nucleotide transfer RNA is filed under the name Phocaeicola coprocola DSM 17136. Its description in RNAcentral is "Bacteroides coprocola DSM 17136 tRNA-Gly". It matches the Rfam family "tRNA". From Rfam's summary of the family: Transfer RNA (tRNA) molecules are approximately 80 nucleotides in length. The record is from RNAcentral. Lineage: Bacteria; Pseudomonadati; Bacteroidota; Bacteroidia; Bacteroidales; Bacteroidaceae.